AUCUGGCAUUAUUUAUCGAGAAUGUUGGAGGCUACAAAAAAUUAUACAAAUUAAACAAAGUUUAUUGAAAAAACUAUUACACUAUACCCACGCAGAAAGUCCACUAUUUUAUUUGAAAUACAUUAAACUUUCCGCUUAGAUGAAACGAAAUAGUAUAUUACGUUCUAAAGGAACCAAGUGACAAUCUUACCUCCGAAUCACUAUCGGAAUCUUGCAUCAUGUCUGAAGAUAGCGACUCACUCUCAUUAUCGUCAAUCAUUUCCGUAAAUGUUGACAGUUUUCUGGUCAUCUGUGCUGUUCUCCCAAGUAUCAGUUUCCUGGUCAUCUAUCGAGCUACCCAUAAAAAAAAUUGCUGAUUCAUCAUUGUCUCUAUAUAGGAUGAAUUUCUGGAAUACUAGAAAACAUAUUACAAUCGGACCUGAAAUAUUUGUAGGAGAUAAUUCUAGAAACAUUUGAACCCGUUCUGCACUAUAAGUUCACACUGUAAAUUUAGAUUUUUGGGAAAAAACUUCGAAAAGUCGGAAUUUGCAGUGUUAACUAUGUGAGCUACAUAGUUUAUUCAAGAAAAUAUCAACGAAAUUCAUCAUACUUACUGGCUCGCACGGAAAAAUAAGAACACGCCUAUUUCCAUUCGCUACACCGACACAGAACCUUAAGCUACCUUCUUUAAAUUGUUGAUCAUCGUAAAUGGACAUCAUCAUCUUAAAAUUACAAGUGUUUGAUAUUUAGCUGGUAGUGGUAUUGCUAAAAAUCUUUCAUAAUCAGCCUUUCCGUGAAUUGUGAGAUGUAAAGCUGCGUACACUGGUGAAAAAAUGAAGUUAUUUUUUUCAUAUUGAAACAUAAAACAAUACGCAAAAAUGUAACAAAUAUGAAAAAUUAAUUUAGUAUGGGUUCAUUGCUCUCCCUUCUCAUCUUUUGUUCAGAAAUAAUAAAAAAAUAUGAGGAAAAUUGAUUAGAAGAGAUAAAAAAAAGUACCGAAUGUUAACAAAAACAUUGUUUCAGCAAUGAUUAAAAAUUCACGUUGGGAAAUUCAUAUUUUUUCAUAUUUCUUCUCAUAUGAGAUUUGAAUAUAAAAAAAAAAUGAAAAAUUUAUAAAAAUAAAGAACUAUUUUUACCAGAGAAAAUUUCACUACUGAUGAUAAUACUAAAAGCAGCAAGAGCUACGACUAAUACUUGAGAAACCAUAGUGGUACAAUGAAUUUAAGAAACUCACUUGCCCAUUAUUUUUCUCUACCUUUUAUGUAUUGAUACAAUCGUCAAAUAACAUACGAAAAAGACUACAUCCUGUAAUUUUCUUUUCAAUCGAUCAACAAUUUUAUCUGCAAAUCUAGGAUCAUUGUUACAGACAUUUUUUUUUGAUAUUAACAAUAAGUUUCGAUAAUUAUACCAGAACUAAUUAUUUCAUUUUUAGAAUUUUCUGUUCAACUAAAAAGAAUUUGCGUGUUAGAGCUUUUAUGAAGCCCACUGAUCGCGGAUAAAAAUUAGAUACCCAAUAUAAACAAUUAAAUAUUUCUAUAAAAAUAUAACAUAAAAGAUUCGUAAUACAAUCAUUUGUAAUAC
This 1560-nucleotide long non-coding RNA is filed under the name Chelonus insularis. RNAcentral describes it as "uncharacterized LOC118073231, transcript variant X2". Lineage: Eukaryota; Metazoa; Arthropoda; Insecta; Hymenoptera; Braconidae. The record is from RNAcentral.